This 205-nucleotide non-coding RNA is filed under the name Clostridium puniceum. RNAcentral describes it as "T-box sequence". It matches the Rfam family "T-box leader". Rfam says of the family: Uncharged tRNA acts as the effector for transcription antitermination of genes in the T-box leader family. T-boxes are found upstream of many aminoacyl-tRNA synthetase genes and some amino acid biosynthetic genes usually in Gram-positive bacteria. Lineage: Bacteria; Bacillati; Bacillota; Clostridia; Eubacteriales; Clostridiaceae. The record is from RNAcentral.
UAUACAGUUAUGAUAAAAGCUACGAUUUGUGAAUUUCUUCAGAGAGCCGAUGGUUGGUGAGAAUCGGUGAAAGGAUAAAUCUUUCCACUUUUGGAGCUGUCGGUGAUGAAUCGAAAGGGUAGUAACCUUUAUAUUACUAUUGUCGAGUGGUUGGUCUUAUUAUACCAGCAAUUUGGGUGGCAACGCGGAUUAUUCCGUCCCAUUU